CGUGCCCUAACCGGCGCCGCAACCGCCGCUGCCUCCCUCUCCUCUGCCCGACGUCGACGACACCCGGGAACAGAGAGUCGGCGAUUGAGCAUCUCCUCCCUCCCUCUUCCUUUCUUCUUCUCUGUCUCUGCCACUGAGGUCGGGAUGCGCCGCCGCCCCUCUCGGCCGGAAACUAUCUCCAAGCCGAAGCCCUAGCCGCGGUGAGGUCUGAGCCACCACCCGACACCUUCUAGCGCAGUCGACGCCUCUCCGCUGAACGCCGAAGACCACAGCAGGUGCCUAGGUGUCGCCCUAGUUUCCGAUCGUUGAUCACCAGAUUCGCUAAGUCAUGCCCUAAUCACUGCUUGCCGCCACCAGUUCCAACAAGGAGGAAGAACUGGGCAUUGAUGCAGUUUUCUGUAGUUUUGGCAGAAGAUCGUUGGCAGCAAUAUUCUCCAACAAGCAGUGACAUCUGUUUUACUUGGCUGUGGAUUAACAGGAGAGGUUUUGGGUUGAAGUCACUGUUUUCUGACAGCUCACAUAUCCGGCAGUGACCUAACAGUUGGGCACUCAGUUUUGGGGUUUGUUGAUUUGUUGCGGUGAUCUUGAUUCGGCUAAGGAUUUGAAAGAAGUGAGGUAAGGGUAGUUAAUUGAUCUAUGUUGUUAAUUGUGGUUUGAAUCAGAUGUGGUAAUUAGUUGAUCAUGUGUAGAUUGAUUAAAUUUAGAAUUAAUCUAACGAAAUGAUUAGGGUUAAGAUAAUUAACCCUAGUCAACUAUUGGAUUU
Molecule: long non-coding RNA, 763 nt
Organism: Zingiber officinale
Lineage: Eukaryota; Viridiplantae; Streptophyta; Magnoliopsida; Zingiberales; Zingiberaceae
Exons: 3
Source: RefSeq, a predicted model, not a curated record